RNAcentral lists this transfer RNA (67 nucleotides) under Marmota monax (woodchuck). Its description in RNAcentral is "tRNA.Ala". Lineage: Eukaryota; Metazoa; Chordata; Mammalia; Rodentia; Sciuridae. The record is from RNAcentral.
GGGGUCGUGGCUCAGUGGCAGAGUGCUUGCCUAGCAUGUAUGAGGCACGGUUCAAUUCUCAGCACCA